UACGAGUGCCCCGAGCGUUAUCCGGAAUUAUUGGGCGUAAAGGGUGUGUAGGCGGUAGUGUUAGUCUUCUGUCAAAUUCUUCGGCUUAACCGGGGGCAUGCAGAGGAAACGGCACAACUAGAGGAUGCGAGAGGUGAAUGGAACUCAUGGAGUAGGGGUGAAAUCCGUUGAUAUCAUGGGGAACACCAAAAGCGAAGGCAAUUCACUGGCGCACUCCUGACGCUGAAACACGAAAGCGUAGGUAGCGAAUGGG
This 253-nucleotide ribosomal RNA is filed under the name uncultured bacterium. Its description in RNAcentral is "partial 16S ribosomal RNA". It matches the Rfam family "Bacterial small subunit ribosomal RNA", at positions 524 to 776 of the family's 1533-position model. The record is from RNAcentral.